UACGUAGGGGGCAAGCGUUGUCCGGAAUCAUUGGGCGUAAAGAGCGCGUAGGCGGCCCUGUAAGUCCGCUGUGAAAGUCAAGGGCUCAACCCUUGAAUGCCGGUGGAUACUGCAGGGCUCGAGUCCGGAAGAGGCGAGUGGAAUUCCUGGUGUAGCGGUGAAAUGCGCAGAUAUCAGGAGGAACACCGAUGGCGAAGGCAGCUCGCUGGGACGGUACUGACGCUGAGGCGCGAAAGCGUGGGGAGCGAUCCGG
This 253-nucleotide ribosomal RNA is filed under the name uncultured bacterium. RNAcentral's name for it is "partial 16S ribosomal RNA". It matches the Rfam family "Bacterial small subunit ribosomal RNA", at positions 524 to 776 of the family's 1533-position model. The record is from RNAcentral.